CACGUGGGUGAUCUGCCCUGCACUUUGGGAUAAGCCUGGGAAACUGGGUCUAAUACCGAAUAGGACCGCAUGCUUCAUGGUGUGUGGUGGAAAGCUUUUGCGGUGUGGGAUGGGCCCGCGGCCUAUCAGCUUGUUGGUGAGGUAAUGGCUUACCAAGGCGACGACGGGUAGCCGGCCUGAGAGGGUGACCGGCCACACUGGGACUGAGAUACGGCCCAGACUCCUACGGGAGGCAGCAGUGGGGAAUAUUGCACAAUGGGCGCAAGCCUGAUGCAGCGACGCCGCGUGAGGGAUGACGGCCUUCGGGUUGUAAACCUCUUUCGCCAGGGACGAAGCGCAAGUGACGGUACCUGGAGAAGAAGGACCGGCCAACUA
RNAcentral lists this ribosomal RNA (375 nucleotides) under Mycobacterium sp. Ri489. Its description in RNAcentral is "bacterial SSU rRNA". It matches the Rfam family "Bacterial small subunit ribosomal RNA", at positions 114 to 503 of the family's 1533-position model. The record is from RNAcentral. Lineage: Bacteria; Bacillati; Actinomycetota; Actinomycetes; Mycobacteriales; Mycobacteriaceae.